Sinocyclocheilus anshuiensis is the source of this 652-nucleotide long non-coding RNA. RefSeq lists it as uncharacterized. The transcript has 3 exons. The record is from RefSeq and is a predicted model, not a curated record. NCBI's taxonomy places the organism in Eukaryota, Metazoa, Chordata, Actinopteri, Cypriniformes, Cyprinidae.
UGGUGCUGCCUUUCAACUGUUUAAUGGAUGUUCUUAUUUGGGUGAAUGGUUUAAUGUUUCCAUUAUGGCUAUUCGCCUAUAAGAAUAUGCUCGGACCGCAGACUUUUCUCACUGAUCCUACAGUCGUUAGUUUCUAAACUGAGACGAACUAAAAACAGCGUCUGCUUCACGAGUGCUGCUCCUGUCUCACCCGCGAGUCAAGGUUACUCUGCACAAAGCCCUGCCGCUGAUGUCUGAAUUAUUGGGUGUCUGAUUGCAGAGCACAAGAGGUGUACAAAAUUCUUCAGAGAUGCCAGUUGUCAUUUUCCCCAUUAGUCUGGCCAGGCAAGUCCAGAGUCCAGUGUUCUCGAUUCUAUUUCUGCUUACCACGCACCCACAACAUGAACACGUUGUGGCAACACUCAUGUUACUGAGUUUGAAUGUUUCAGCAGUAGCGACAAUCAGCAGGACAUGUUGCAUCUGCAGUACCAUUUGGAGGAUCAGUUUACUUCUACUCGUGAACCAACAGCACUGUGCCGACUGAAAACUGCAGUGGAAAGUUUAGAGAUUGUGAAAUGACCUGAGUCCACAACUGGCCAGACUUGUUCUGUUCCGGAUGUUGUGUACUCUCUCUCUCACACACAUUUAAAAGCUUAUUUACAGCAGCAUGAUU